Stomoxys calcitrans (stable fly) is the source of this 72-nucleotide non-coding RNA. Lineage: Eukaryota; Metazoa; Arthropoda; Insecta; Diptera; Muscidae. The record is from Rfam.
GACUCCGUGGCGCAAUGGUAGCGCAUCUGACCAAAGAUCAGAAGGUUGCGUGUUCAAUUCACGCCGGAGUAA